RNAcentral lists this long non-coding RNA (4966 nucleotides) under Ovis aries (sheep). Its description in RNAcentral is "lncRNA (ENSOARG00000026594.1)". Lineage: Eukaryota; Metazoa; Chordata; Mammalia; Artiodactyla; Bovidae. The record is from RNAcentral.
AUGUCUGCUGGGUUGGGCAGUUCCUUAAGAAGAUCCUAUUUCCCUGUUCUGCCCCCAUCAAGAGUUUUUUGGAAGAGAAAACAAAAUGCCAUUUCAGAGGAUUUUCUGGAAGAGUUGAAGGAGGCAUUACUGAGUCAUAUGUGCCAGUUGCACACACAUCCACCAUCUGAGGAAAACCUCCCUCUUGAUCGUCUUCCUCUGAAAGUGGCUGCAGCUCAUCACAUGAGCUUUGCAGAAGAAAUUAGCCUGCUGUGCCUGUCACCAAAGAAAGGCGGAAAGGUUUGUCCCAAAAGUUCAAGGGAGCUCCUCAGCUCUGAGGCCAUCUCUAAACUCUACUCCCGAGAGGCAGAACAUGCUGGGUAACUAUCAAAUUCUCACACUGGGGAAAAAUCAAAGGCAGGUGAACCACAAGAGAGCCUGUUGCUUUAGGCUAGGCUGCUAGUCACUGCUCCUGAAAGCUCAAACACAUGCUAUUGUUGGAAUCUCUGGGAACCAGUUCAGUUCAGUCGCUCAGUCAUGUCCGACCCUUUGCGACCCCAUGAAUCGCAGCACGCCAGGCCUCCCUGUCCAUCACCAUCUCCCGGAGUUCAUCCAGACUCAUGUCCAUCGAGUCCGUGAUGCCAUCCAGCCAUCUCAUCCUCGGUCGUCCCCUUCUCCUCCUGCCCCCAAUCCCUCCCAGCAUCAGAGUCUUUUCCAGUGAGUGAACUCUUCACAUGAGGUGGCCAAAGUACUGGAGUUUCAGCUUUAGCAUCAUUUCUUCUAAAGAAAUCCCAGGGUUGAUCUCCUUCAGAAUGGACUGGUUGGAUCUCCUUGCAGUCCAAGGGACUCUCAAGAGUCUUCUCCAACAUCACAGUUCAAAAGUGUCUCUGCUUUUGAAUAUGCUAUCUAGGUUGGUCAUAACUUUUCUUCCAAGGAGUAAGCGUCUUUUAAUUUCAUGGCUGCAGUCACCAUCUGCAGUGAUUUUGGAGCCCCCCAAAAUAAAGUCUGACACUGUUUCCACUGUUUCCCCAUCUAUUUCCCAUGAAGUGAUGGGACCGGAUGCCAUGAUCUUCGUUUUCUGAAUGUUGAGCUUUAAGCCAACUUUUUCACUCUCCUCUUUCACUUUCAUCAAGAGGCUUUUUAGUUCCUCUUCACUUUCUGCCAUAAGGGUGGUGUCAUCUGCAUAUCUGAGGUUAUUGAUAUUUCUCCUGGCAAUCUUGAUUCCAGCUUGUGUUUCUUCCAGUCCAGCGUUUCUCAUGAUGUACUCUGCAUAUAAGUUAAAUAAGCAGGGUGACAAUAUACAGCCUUGAUGUACUCCUUUUCCUAUUUGGAACCAGUCUGUUGUUCCAUGUCCAGUUCUAACUGUUGCUUCCUGACCUGCAUACAGAUUUCUCAAGAGGCAGGUCAGGUGGUCUGGUAUUCCCAUCUCUUUCAGAAUUUUCCACAGUUUAUUGUGAUCCACACAGUCAAAGGCUUUGGCAUAGUCAAUAAAGCAGAAAUAGAUGUUUUUCUGGAACUCUCUUGCUUUUUCCAUGAUCCAGCGGAUGUUGGCAAUUUGAUCUCUGGUUCCUCUGCCUUUUCUAAAACCAGCUUGAACAUCAGGGAGUUCACGGUUCACGUAUUGCUGAAGCCUGGCUUGGAGAAUUUUGAGCAUUACUUUACUAGCAUGUGAGAUGAGUGCAAUUGUGCGGUAGUUUGAGCAUUCUUUGGCAUUGCCUUUCUUUGGGAUUGGAAUGAAAACUGACCUUUUCCAGUCCUGUGGCCACUGCUGAGUUUUCCAAAUUUGCUGGCAUAUUGAGUGCAGCACUUUCACAGCAUCAUCUUUCAGGAUUUGAAACAGCUCAACUGGAAUUCCAUCACCUCCACUAGCUUUGUUCAUAGUGAUGCUUUCUAAGGCCCACUUGACUUCACAUUCCAAGAUGUCUGGCUCUAGAUUAGUGAUCACAUCGUCAUGAUUAUCUGGGUCAUGAAGAUCUUUUUUGUACAGUUCUUCUGUGUAUUCUUGCCACCUCUUCUUAAUAUCUUCUGCUUCUGUUAGGUCCAUACCAUUUCUGUCCUUUAUCGAGCCCAUCUUUGCAUGAAAUGUUCCCUUGGUAUCUCUAAUUUUCUUGAAGAGAUCUCUAGUCUUUCCCAUUCUGUUGUUUUCCUCUAUUUCUUUGCAUUGAUCGCUGAAGAAGGCUUUCUUAUCUCUUCUUGCUAUUCUUUGGAACUCUGCAUUCAGAUGCUUAUAUCUUUCCUUUUCUCCUUUGCUUUUCGCCUCUCUUCUUUUCACAGCUAUUUGUAAGGCCUCCCCAGACAGCCAUUUUGCUUUUUUGCAUUUCUUUUCCAUGGGGAUGGUCUUGAUCCCUGUCUCCUGCACAAUGUCACGAACUGCAUUCCAUAGUUCAUCAGGCACUCUAUCUAUCAGAUCUAGGCCCUUAAAUCUAUUUCUCACUUCCACUGUAUAGUCAUAAGGGAUUUGAUUUAGGUCCUACCUGAAUGGUCUAGCUGUUUUCCCUACUUUCUUCAAUUUUAGUCUGAAUUUGGCAAUAGGGAGUUCAUGAUCUGAGCCACAGUCAGCUCCUGGUCUUGUUUUUGUUGACUGUAUAGAGCUUCUCCAUCUUUGGCUGCAUAGAAUAUAAUCAGUCUGAUUUCGGUGGGAACCAGAGUGACCCCAUAACCAGUAAGACCAAGGGAGUGACUUCCUGCAUUACUCUGAGUCCCCAGAUGUCUUUGUAAUUAGCUUAUAUUGGUUAGUAUAUGUGACUCUUCCUUUUGUUUCUCUCUUUGGAGAUCUAUCAGCAUUAUUUCUGUUGUUCAGUUGCUAAGUCAUGUUCAACUACUUGCAACCUCAUGGGCUGCAGCAUGGAAGGCUUCCUUGUCCUUCACCAUAUCCCUGAGUUUGCUCAAACUCAUGUCCAUUUAGUGGGUGAUGUCAUUCAACCAUCUCAUCCUCUGUCUCUUUCUCUUCCUGGCUUCAGUCUUUCCUAGUAUCAGGGUCUUUUCCAAAUAGUCUUCACAUCAGGUGCCCAAAUUAUUGGAGUUUUAGCUUCAGUAUCAGUCCUUCCAAUGAAUAUUGAGGGUUGAUUUCCUUUAGGAUUGAUUAGUUUGAUCUCCUUGCAGUCCAAGGGAUUCUCAAGAGUUUUUUCCAAUACCACAGCUCAAAAGCAUCUUUUAUUCGAUGCUCAGCCUUCUUUACGGUCCAACUCUCACAUCCAUACAUGACUACUGGAAAAACCUUAGCUUAGACUAUAUAGACUUUUGUUGGCAAAGUGAUGUUUCUGCUUUCUAAUAUGCUGUCUAGGUUUUUCUUUGCAUUUCUUCCAAGGAGCAAGCGUCUUUUUUCAUUUCAUGGAGGAAGUCACUAUCCACAGUGAUUUUCAAGCCCAAGAAAAUGAAGUCUAUCACUAUUUCCAUUUCCCCACAUCUAUUUGCUGUGAAGUGAUGGGACUGGAUGCCACGAUCUUAGUUUUUUGAAUGUUGAGUUUUAAGCCAGCUUGUUCACUCUCCUGUUUCACCUUCAUCAAGAGGCUCUUUAGUUCAGGGCUGAGAGGGAGACAAAGACAGAAGGGGCUGGUCUGCAGGACAUGAGAAAAGUUCCUGCUGCCAUCCUGGGCAAAGCCAGACUUGGGACAGCCCCUGAUCCAUGGGGCCAGCGAGCUCCAGCUCCCCAGGGAAGCAUCUGCCACCUGCCCAAGCAAUGGGAGCAGGAGGGCCGCAGGCAGACAGAACGCAGGGAAAUGAGCGGAUUUCCUUGACGCAAAGAGGCCGCCCCUCUUCCAGAGGCUCCUUGGGAGCAGCUGUAGAUGGAGAAGAUGCUGCUGAAGGGGGAAAUGUCUGGAUUUCACUUUCUGUGUUUGGGGUAAACCCAAGGGCCCUUUGGAGUCAAAAAAUUAUUGAUGUCAAGGAGGACUGACAGCUGAGGUGACUGCAGCCCGCCUCCGCUCAGCAGGCUGGCUUCGGAGAAGAUCAGGAUCACAGAGCCCACCUGCCAGUGCUUACCGCUGAACGGCCACGACCAGUGGUGCGCACGCGCAGAAAUGACGCAAUGCCGUGGGCCGGAGGGUAGGUCCUGCAAAGUCCGACUCCGGGAGAGGGCAGGGCCUGCAAACAGCCUGCAAAGGUGACCAGCAUACCAGGAGCUGAUGGAGUGAAGCCAGAUGAAAAGAAAGGACUUAGGAGGGAUUGAAGGACAGCAGAGCGUCUCCUUGCCAGUGAAGCAGCUCCUCGAGCAAGGGCGCGGUAGGCCCUGGAGUGAAUCUGCUUUUGAACAAAAUCCAAAGCUGAUUCCAAGGCAGGUGGUGCCCUGAGCCACAUUUUGACUGAUGAGAGGUUUUAUAGGACAGAUCUGUGUGUCCUGUGGACAUAGGAAAAUACAUUUUUCAAUCUUCAUAUGUUUUGGUAAGCUCUUCCAGGUCACUGUAUCUUCUUCUGAGGCACAAUGGCAGGGAAAGAAAGAAGAAAAAGUACCUCUGUGGGGCAGGGAGUCGUGUCCUAAUGGGGUUGCGUGCCAGCCACCUGAGAGAGUGGAGCUCCGUGCUUGAACUCAACCAGAGUCGACUAUGGAAACUUCUGUGGGCAGAGUGUUUGCACGCCUGCCAGCUCACACACUCCCACGCAGAUCUGCCCUUGGUCUUGCUGACUGUGAAUCUGUGAAAUGAAGAUCAGUGGUAUAGGGACCUGAUCCUCUGCCUUAGAGUCUUGCCCUUACAUUAUCACUAAGCCUGCCCCAUGAGUUGUGACCUCCGUGUUCCUGAAACUGGGGUCUGACUAAUUUUUAGGAAUCCUAACAUUUUUCCUUUGGAGUUUUGUUUUCAUGAUCAUCUAAAGCAAAAGUUUUACCAGUUAUAAAAAUAACACUUUUCUUUUGGAGUAAUGAUUCUCAUUUGAAAGUUUUCUUCCACAGAAUCAAACUUGAUUUUUUUUAAAGUCAGUGUUUCUCCAGCGAUAGUCUCCAGAAAUAUUAGGAGACCUUCAAAUACAUUCUCUGGGAUCUAUAUGAAUGGCC